Zalophus californianus (California sea lion) is the source of this 3444-nucleotide long non-coding RNA. RefSeq lists it as uncharacterized. NCBI's taxonomy places the organism in Eukaryota, Metazoa, Chordata, Mammalia, Carnivora, Otariidae. The record is from RefSeq and is a predicted model, not a curated record. The transcript is spliced from 12 exons.
AUGGGGUGUAGCUGAGGGAUGACAGGAUUCAGACCUAGUUUCACCGAAAUGGACUGCUACUUAGAAUAAGACAGAUGUGUGGAAACAUUGUCCGGUAAAUAUGUCAGACUUAGUUUUAGUCCAGCUGGAAGAGCUUGAAGGACAGAGGAGGGAUUUUUCCUCCUCUACAGAGGCUGCAAUUGUGUUUUAUUUUGAAAUUUAGAAGAGGCUCUUUUUAACAGAAACCACAAGGAUGCUUACAGUAAAAGGAAGACCUUAGCUCGUCACACUCCUGAGCACCUCCAGUACACCCAUACAUGGCUGAGAGUCGGCUCUGCCCUACAGAGACAGCAAACCACCUCCCUAGAAUGAAUGCCACCAAAUAAGGAUGCAAAUCAUAGAAACCGCUUUAACUCCCCAAAGCCAGAAAGACUCCCUGUAUAUUCACUGCCCAUUAGCCUCGAAGUUAAAGGGAGAGGUUGUCUUGUGGUGUCUGUGAGUGAUUGAAUGAAGUCCAGGACAACGUUUUGAAGAACUGUGUGGAGAGAUUUUCAGCUAGGGCUUGAUGGGAGAAAAUGGAACAAAGACCAGACUUUUCUGUGGCUCGUAGUCCCCAGGCAGGAUUCUCCUACAGCCUGGUCUUCACAAGGAAAGACAUUUUUGGGGAAGUGACAAGGCAAAGGAAAAGGACUUUGGGUCUCCACCGGCAACAAAUUGUGUGAAAGCAACUAUGAGGGAAACGAAGUCUCCCUUACCUCAGUUUGCUUCCACAAGAGGCUAUGCUGUACCUCAAAACACUGCAACAUAUGAGCUUCAGAAAGGAGAAGAGAAAAAAAAAAGAUUUCUGGACAACCAGUCUGUAUAAAAUACCUAGGGCAAUUCUUGGCACCAAAAACGUGUUCACUUGAAAUUUUGUCAUUUCGAAGAGAUUGGGUGAAAUUGGUUCGAAUGCACAUCCCCCACAGGGAAAAGUGUGUGGAACAAUGGUUAGAUUGGCAGUUUCCCAUGAUAAUGAAAGGAAUACCUGUUGGCUCUAAGGAUCUUAACCCAAGAUGUCAUAUCCCAGGAGAGAAUCAGAGGCUUUACUCACACCCAGGAAAGCCAGAAGAAGGCAGAGAAAUAGAAGGAAAGAAAAAGACAAAAAUGAAGAAUAAAGCCAAAUCUUUACCAUGCUACAACAGACACAUGUUUGGAACACUGUACCGGGAGUUAGACUCACCGCUGUGGAUCCCGACCUCCCAGCCAGGAAAGGACUCAGCAUCCGCUAGGAUGGCAUUGACCCCUGGGUGAAGAAAGCAAUGUCCUGGGGGCAGAGUUACAGCAUCAUCAGUGUCAAAGAAAAAAAAAUGCAAUCUGGACAUUAGUAUGAAGGAUUUCUUUAAGGGGGUUAUUGCAAUAGAAGGAGAAGAGUAUCAUAAUAGGAAGAUGCUCGAAGACUAAGUCAGAAAUGUCUCAGGGGAGGGAUGGGUGGGCAAAGCUUUUAAAUGCAGAGAUGCCUGGGAAAGGAGGAGGGGAGAUGAAAGCUGGUGUGGGAGGGGGUUCUUGAAACUUAGCCUUCAUCAAAUAUUGUACUAACAGGGAAGACAAGGCAGGAAGUAUUGGUUUGUGGUUAAGCACAUGGGGCGGGGUCUGCACUUGAGACAAGCAAACAAGUUAAGGUACAGAAAAUGUACAUGGGUUUGAGGGCCUUGCCAUCUUAGAGUUAUGUUAAGCUCAAAGUUUGAUUAGCCUUGUCAGCACCUAAAAUUGUUUUUGAGAUUUCCCAGAGGGUUUCUGAAAAAUCUCUUUUGUAAAAAGAGAAAUGUUAGGAAUAAUGACGGUUAUUUGAUAUGUCACUGAUGAUGAGUUACAUGGGAAAUGUUCUCAAAUCAGAAGAAAUGCCUAGACUUCCCUAGGUUAAAUUUGUAUGGUUAAAAUGUUAUUAACAUAAAUAUUUAAACAAUUGUGUUCUGUAUGGGAAGGUUCUAGACAAUGGUCAAUGUUUUUGCUGUUCAUGAUAUGUUUCUAUUUAUCAGAGUCUUGAUGUUGCUUAGCCCAUAAGACAAAAGCAGUAUUGUAUUAGCACUCAUAAUUUCAGUUAUUUUUAAAAAACAUUAACUUGGUUGCAACUUUACUUUUUAACUCAAAUCUAGUGUACCUCAGGCGGUAGUGUUAUACUGGGGAUUCACAUCAUCUAUCUAUCGAUUUUAUUAAUCUAUUGAUAUUUAGAAACUACUUUAGAUGUACUGAAUCUAUUUACUUGAUAAUCUUGAUAUAUUCUUGGUAUAUUCUAACUUUGGGCUAGGUAUCUAUGUUAUCUAACGUUUCAGGAUUUUUAUAUGGUAUAUUUUCUUUGUGAAGUGUAUGUUUAUCUAUUUUCAUAAAUUAGAUGUAAUCUCUACUCUUCUUUGAAAAUAGGCAUAAAUCUUUGUGCUUACACAUAUUUUGUCAAAAACUUUUUUGAAUUGACUUUGUUUGUUUUGCAUGCCACGGAAACGAUCAGAAAUGCUUGUCAAUUGCAUUAUUCUUGUAAUGAACCCUCUUCGGAUCAUUCUCUUUUGAAAAAUAUCAACAGUGAGCAAACAAUAGACAUUUCUAGUCUUUUGUCAUCUACAGAGAGCCUGUAUGUUUUGUUUUACUCCUGAUGCUUCCAUGAAAUCACCUGGAAUCGGUUAUAAGGCAGAGUGUUCCAUCUUCAACAAAUAUUCUCAGAUCAGAUCCCUGUCUAAGAGCCUGGUGAAGCGGUACUCUUGGGUACAGACUGCUGAUGGCAUUGCUUCAAUAAUUAUGAGAUCAUACCAGUGGACUGAGUCAGGAGUUCCAGACUUUAGUCAAGAAGCAGUGAUCUUCAUUUAUUACCACAGCUUUUUCAGAGUUUCCUUCAACACACAGUUUGCAUUGACCAUCACCAUGGCCUCCAGUUUUCAACUGGGCACCCAGAACCCAUUGUGUUUUAUUGCUCGCUGCUUGUCAAGUCCACAGUGAGUGAUAAUCCCAAUGAAGAAAGAUCAGGAAGAUCUUUCAUGUGGCUGACGAUGGAGGCAACUAACAAUCUCUGAGCAGUGAAGAUCUGGAUCACUAGCUUUCCCUGAACUGGUCAACUUAUUGCAAGUAUCCCUGUUUAAAAUGUCUGGACUUCAAGAUUCUGAAACAAUUGACCUUAGCUAUAACCUCUCAGCUGACGGUUCAACUUAUUUUAUAGGAACAACACCAACAAAAGUCCUAGAGAGAUCCUGCCUUGUCUCACUCAGGAGGAAAGGACUUACUGAAAAGAGGCAUCACUCUUCUCCGUACAAUUUAUAUAAGACUCCCAGUCCAUUCCUUCUCAUGACUCCAAUAAGAGUUGUGUGUCUAGGUGUCUGUGGACAAUUAGUUUUUGACAAAGAUGCCAAGACCAUUCAAUGGGAAAAGAAUAGUGUUUUCAACAAAUGACUCUGGGACAACUGGAUAUAGUCACAUGCAGAAGAAUGAAAUUGGAUCCUUAUC